Molecule: long non-coding RNA, 3134 nt
Organism: Oncorhynchus keta (chum salmon)
Lineage: Eukaryota; Metazoa; Chordata; Actinopteri; Salmoniformes; Salmonidae
Exons: 5
Source: RefSeq, a predicted model, not a curated record
CUGUCAGAUAGGACACUACGUGCUUUCUGAUGGUGUCAAGUCCAGUUACUUUGAAAUUGCUAAAGGUGUCCUGCCGGGGGUUGAUUUUGGGACCUGUCCUCUUCACUAUUUAUAUAAAUAAUAUUGGUCUAUAAGCAAAAACCUGUAACAUUCAUUUGUGUGCAGAUGACACUGUUAUGUAAGCUUUUGCCUCUACGGCUGACCAGGCUGUUGGAGCUGCAGUCGGAUUUUGUCACCUAGCAGAAAGUCCUUGUUGACUUAGAAUGGUACUUCAUGCAGUAAAAACUAAAUGAUGUUUUCUAAUUUUCAUUGAAAUACUUCAGAUGCAGUCUACCGUGGCAUCCUUCACUUUAUCACAGGUGACACCAUUCAUGGGAGUGUAGCAGCCACUAAUCUGAAACCAUUGGAUGCAGUCAGUCUACCGUGGCAUCCUUCACUUUAUCACAGGUGACACCAUUCAUGGGAGUGUAGCAGCCACUAAUCUGAAACCAUUGGAUGCAGUCAGUCUACCGUGGCAUCCUUCACUUUAUCACAGGUGACACCAUUCAUGGGAGUGUAGCAGCCACUAAUCUGAAACCAUUGGAUGCAGUCAGUCUACCGUGGCAUCCUUCACUUUAUCACAGGUGACACCAUUCAUGGGAGUGUAGCAGCCACUAAUCUGAAACCAUUGGAUGUCGUCAGUCUACCGUGGCAUCCUUCACUUUAUCACAGGUGACACCAUUCAUGGGAGUGUAGCAGCCACUAAUCUGAAACCAUUGGAUGCAGUCAGUCUACCGUGGCAUCCUUCACUUUAUCACAGGUGACACCAUUCAUGGGAGUGUAGCAGCCACUAAUCUGAAACCAUUGGAUGUCGUCAGUCUACCGUGGCAUCCUUCACUUUAUCACAGGUGACACCAUUCAUGGGAGUGUAGCAGCCACUAAUCUGAAACCAUUGGAUGCAGUCAGUCUACCGUGGCAUCCUUCACUUUAUCACAGGUGACACCAUUCAUGGGAGUGUAGCAGCCACUAAUCUGAAACCAUUGGAUGUCGUCAGUCUACCGUGGCAUCCUUCACUUUAUCACAGGUGACACCAUUCAUGGGAGUGUAGCAGCCACUAAUCUGAAACCAUUGGAUGACGUCAGUCUACCGUAGCAUCCUUCACUUUAUCACAGGUGACACCAUUCAUGGGAGUGUAGCAGCCACUAAUCUUAAACCAUUGGAUGCAGUCAGUCUACCGUGGCAUCCUUCACUUUAUCACAGGUGACACCAUUCAUGGGAGUGUAGCAGCCACUAAUCUUAAACCAUUGGAUGCCGUCAGUCUACCGUGGCAUCCUUCACUUUAUCACAGGUGACACCAUUCAUGGGAGUGUAGCAGCCACUAAUCUGAAACCAUUGGAUGCAGUCAGUCUACCGUGGCAUCCUUCACUUUAUCACAGGUGACACCAUUCAUGGGAGUGUAGCAGCCACUAAUCUGAAACCAUUGGAUGCAGUCAGUCUACCGUGGCAUCCUUCACUUUAUCACAGGUGACACCAUUCAUGGGAGUGUAGCAGCCACUAAUCUGAAACCAUUGGAUGCAGUCAGUCUACCGUGGCAUCCUUCACUUUAUCACAGGUGACACCAUUCAUGGGAGUGUAGCAGCCACUAAUCUGAAACCAUUGGAUGCAGUCAGUCUACCGUGGCAUCCUUCACUUUAUCACAGGUGACACCAUUCAUGGGAGUGUAGCAGCCACUAAUCUGAAACCAUUGGAUGCAGUCAGUCUACCGUGGCAUCCUUCACUUUAUCACAGGUGACACCAUUCAUGGGAGUGUAGCAGCCACUAAUCUGAAACCAUUGGAUGCAGUCAGUCUACCGUGGCAUCCUUCACUUUAUCACAGGUGACAGUUUUAAUAUGAAUCACUGCAUCCUGUAUCAGAAGGUUGGCUGCUCCUCCUUGAAGUCCUGUACAUCACUUCAUUACUCUCUUUCUGUUGACAAAGCUCUACUAUACAAGCUUCCCACUGACCAACUUCGUUGUUAAUGUAUAAAAACAUGAUUCCAAACCCGUUCACAGGAUUGGUGAACUGUUGAGAUUCCUCUGCCGAACGAGGCAAAUCCACUUUUAGUUUUAAUGAUCAACAUUUUUGGAAUCACUCACAAAAUUCAUUACAUUUGGAUUCCCUGGUGCCACUAGUCAUUUUAAAACCCUGAUGAUAAAGAGUUCACCAAGGUGUGCAAUUGUUUUGAUUGACAAAUAAUUUGUUUAUGAUGCCUGUGAUGUUCUAACAUAAUGUACUGGUUAUUCUAUAUUUUAUUUGAUGUCAGAGCACCACUACAAAUGAGACCGUGGUCUCAAUGGGGCUCUCAUGAUUAAAUACAAGUGAAUAAUGAUAAUGAGCAGCACAAGGAGCAGAGAGCAGAGUAAUGGAGGGCUGCUCACCGACCACUCUAUUAGCCCUGGAUCAAUCCACUCACACACACUGUAAAUCACACACACCUCAGCUGGCGUGAGUGUGUGUCCGUGUGUCUGGUAGGGGGCCAGCUAGAGGGGCCAACUUCCCAGAGACCCAACCAACCGCUCCCCUCUGGGGCCACCUGCGCAGAGACCUCCAUGGCCCCCUCUGAUCCCUCAUCCCCCUGACGGACCACCAGGACCAGGGUGUGGACCCCCCCCACAUUAGGACCAGGGUGUGGACCCCCCCCACAUUAGGACCAGGGUGUGGACCCCAAUUAGGACCAGGGUGUCUCCUGGAGAGGAGAGAGGGCUAAACCAUCCACACAGGUGGUCCACAGGUGGUCCACAGCGGUGGUCUGUCUGUCUGUCUUUUGGGUGUAUUGGUUUUGUUAAAGUCACCUGAUGCUGUGACAAAGACAACACCCUCCCUCCUCGAGCCAGUGACUGGCAAGCAGGUACAGGAAGAAAACUUUAAAUCACUGAACACAAGUGAACAAAGUGACUCAAUUAGUUGUGGCUUUUAACAAACUCACUGACAGGCCUGUAAAAGGUAGUAAGGUGAGACUGAAAACAUCCCAGCAGCAUCAGUAAGAGGCAGACAUGACGUAACGGCCCAAUUCUAGUUAGGCCAGAUAGUUAGAGACCCCUCACUAUGUCCAGACUGCAGACUCCAGACUGCAUGGGCCUGCCAACCACAGGACGGACGGUGAUCACAAUCAUCA